AAGUCGUAACAAGGUUUCCGUAGGUGAACCUGCGGAAGGAUCAUUAUUGAAUAUUCUUGAUGGGUUGUAGCUGGCUCUUCGGAGUAUGUGCACGCCUGUCUUGACUCUAUUCAUCCACCUGUGCACAUUUUGUAGUCUUGGGGGUUGAGAACAGUCAACUAUCGGACGGCUAUUAUGGCCUUUCGGACGUGAGAAUUGCUGAGUGCGAAAGCAUACAGCUAUUCUUAAAAUGACUUGUAACCUCUCCUUCGAGCACUAUGUUUUCAUACACCACAUAGUAUGUUGUAGAAUGUGAUCAAUGGGCCUACGUGCCUAUAAUAAUCAUAUACAACUUUCAGCAACGGAUCUCUUGGCUCUC
RNAcentral lists this unclassified non-coding RNA (358 nucleotides) under Calvatia gigantea. Its description in RNAcentral is "partial internal transcribed spacer region". The stretch from base 1 to 46 matches the Rfam family "Eukaryotic small subunit ribosomal RNA", at positions 1786 to 1831 of the family's 1831-position model. The record is from RNAcentral. Lineage: Eukaryota; Fungi; Basidiomycota; Agaricomycetes; Agaricales; Lycoperdaceae.